CCUACGGGUGGCUGCAGUGAGGAAUAUUGGUCAAUGGACGAGAGUCUGAAUCAGCCAAGUAGCGUGAAGGAUGACUGCCCUAUGGGUUGUAAACUUCUUUUAUAUGGGAAUAAAAUGUUCCACGUGUGGAUUUUGUAUGUACCCUAUGAAUAAGGAUCGGCUAACUCCGUGCCAGCAGCCGCGGUAAUACGGAGGAUCCGAGCGUUGUUCGGAUUUAUUGGGUUUAUAGGGAGCGUAGGUGGAUUGUUAAGUCAGUUGUGAAAGUUUGCGGCUCAACCGUAAAAUUGCAGUUGAAACUGGCAGUCUUGAGUACAGUAGAGGUGGGCGGAAUUCGUGGUGUAGCGGUGAAAUGCUUAGAUAUCACGAAGAACUCCGAUUGCGAAGGCAGUUCACUGGACUGCAACUGACACUGAGGCUCGAAAGUGUGGGUAUCAAACAGGAGUAGAUACCCUAGUAGUC
This 459-nucleotide ribosomal RNA is filed under the name uncultured bacterium. Its description in RNAcentral is "partial 16S ribosomal RNA". It matches the Rfam family "Bacterial small subunit ribosomal RNA", at positions 338 to 795 of the family's 1533-position model. The record is from RNAcentral.